UACAGAGGGGGCAAGCGUUGUCCGGAAUUAUUGGGCGUAAAGGGCUCGUAGGCGGUCUGUCGCGUCGGGAGUGAAAACUCAGGGCUUAACCCUGAGCCUGCUUCCGAUACGGGCAGACUAGAGGUAUGCAGGGGAGAACGGAAUUCCUGGUGUAGCGGUGGAAUGCGCAGAUAUCAGGAGGAACACCGGUGGCGAAGGCGGUUCUCUGGGCAUUACCUGACGCUGAGGAGCGAAAGUGUGGGGAGCGAACAGG
Molecule: ribosomal RNA, 253 nt
Filed under: uncultured bacterium
Lineage: Bacteria
Description: partial 16S ribosomal RNA
Rfam family: Bacterial small subunit ribosomal RNA
Source: RNAcentral